RNAcentral lists this ribosomal RNA (381 nucleotides) under uncultured bacterium. Its description in RNAcentral is "bacterial SSU rRNA". It matches the Rfam family "Bacterial small subunit ribosomal RNA", at positions 30 to 402 of the family's 1533-position model. The record is from RNAcentral.
AUUGAACGCUGGCGGCAUGCCUUACACAUGCAAGUCGAACGGCAGCACGGGAGCAAUCCUGGUGGCGAGUGGCGAACGGGUGAGUAAUAUAUCGGAACGUGCCCAGUCGUGGGGAUAACGUAGCGAAAGCUACGCUAAUACCGCAUACGAUCUAUGGAUGAAAGCGGGGGAUCGCAAGACCUCGCGCGAUUGGAGCGGCCGAUAUCAGAUUAGGUAGUUGGUGAGGUAAAGGCUCACCAAGCCGACGAUCUGUAGCUGGUCUGAGAGGACGACCAGCCUCACUGGGACUGAGACACGGGCCCAGACUCCUACGGGAGGCAGCAGUGGGGAAUUUUUGGUACAAUAGGCGGCGAAGUACGUGAUCCACGCAACUAGCCGCGU